This 237-nucleotide ribosomal RNA is filed under the name Klebsiella pneumoniae subsp. pneumoniae. RNAcentral's name for it is "partial 16S ribosomal RNA". It matches the Rfam family "Bacterial small subunit ribosomal RNA", at positions 1011 to 1248 of the family's 1533-position model. Lineage: Bacteria; Pseudomonadati; Pseudomonadota; Gammaproteobacteria; Enterobacterales; Enterobacteriaceae. The record is from RNAcentral.
UUGGUGCCUUCGGGAACUGUGAGACAGGUGCUGCAUGGCUGUCGUCAGCUCGUGUUGUGAAAUGUUGGGUUAAGUCCCGCAACGAGCGCAACCCUUAUCCUUUGUUGCCAGCGGUUCGGCCGGGAACUCAAAGGAGACUGCCAGUGAUAAACUGGAGGAAGGUGGGGAUGACGUCAAGUCAUCAUGGCCCUUACGACCAGGGCUACACACGUGCUACAAUGGCAUAUACAAAGAGAA